GAGGGGGGGCAACUGGGGAAGGGGGAGAGUGCAAGGGGAGUGGUUGUGCAAGGGGAAAGUGUGCAAAAGGGGGGGCUUGUGCAUGGAGAAGUGUGCAUGGGGAGCUGUUGUGCAAGGGGGAAGUGUGCAAGGGCAGAGUGGAUGUGCAAGGGAAAGUGCACAAAGGGGACGUGUUUGUGCAAGGAGGAAGUGUGGAAGGGGAGCGCUUGUGCAAGGGGAAAAGUGCUCAGGGAGCGCUUGUGUGUGAGGGAAGUGUGCAAAGGGGGUGUGUUUGUGCAAGGGAAUGUGUGCAAGGGGCACACCGGUGUAAGGGGGAAGUGUCCAAAGGGGGAGUGUUUGUGCAAGGGGAAAGUGCAAGGGAGCACUUGUGCAAGGUAAAGUGUGCAAGGGGAAAGCAUUAACGUGAGGACAAAGUGUGGAAGGGGAAGUGUUUGUGCAAGGGGAAGUGUGCUAGGGGAGGGCUUGUGCAAGGGGGUAGUGUGGAAGGGGAGCACUUGUGCAAGGGAGAAAUGUGCAAGGGGGUGCACCUGUGGAAGGGUGAAGGGUGGAAGGGGGAGUGCUUGUGCAAGGGAGAGCGUGUAAGUGGGGCAAUUGUGCAAGGAGAAAUGUGCAAGUGGGGAGCAUUCAUGCAAGAGUAACAUGUGCAAGGGUACUACUUGUGCAAGGGAGAAGAAGUGUGCUAGGAGAGUGUGCGAGGGGGAAGAGUGUAAGGGGGAAAUGUGGAAGGGGGUGCUUGUGCAAGGGGAAAGCACUCAUGCAGGGGGAAAGUGCAACGGGGAAUGCUUGUGCAAGGGGAAGGGCUCGUGUGAAGAGUGCUCACACAAGGGGGUAGGCGGUCGCUGUGGGAGAGGUCCUGUGCUUGUGCAGCUGGUGGGAAAGGGGGAGGAAUUGUGUUCUGUGCAAUAUCCUUGUGCAACCCCUCCUCUGCAGUGUCCCUGUGCAAACCCAUAGUGCAAACCCCUCGUGCAAAGCCUAUCUGCAUGACCUUAAUGCAACCCCUCAUACAACCCCCCCUUCACCCCAUCUUGUGCAAGCCCCCUGUGCCAUGUCCCUGUGCAAACGCUGCCUGCAAACCCUUCUUGCACAUCCUUUGUGUAAACCCCUUGUGCAAACUUCUUGUACACCCCCUCCUUAGAAACCCAAUUUGCACAAGCCUCGUGCAAACCCCUGGUGUGAGUCUUCCAUGCAACCCCCUCAUGGAAGCCCACCGUGCAAAACUCACCUGCAAACAACCUGGGGAAACCCCUCGUGCAAGCAGUGCAAACCUCACCUGCAAAUCUGUCGUGCAAAUCCCUUGUACAUCCCCAUGCAAACAACAUCUGCAAACCACGUGUGCAAACCCCUUGUGCAAAUGCCUUGUAUAUCCCCCUGUGCAAAACCCAUAUGCAACCCCUCGUGCAAAUCUGUUGUGCAAAACUCUUGUGCAAAUCCCUUGCGUGAUGUCCCCAUGCAGACAACAGCUUCAAAUCCCUUGUGCACCCCUUGUGCAAAUCCAUUGUGCAAUCUUUCUGCACAAGCAACAUCUGCAAAUCCCUUGUGCAACCCCCCGUGCAAAACCCCAGUGCAAACACCAUCAGCAAGCCCCUCGUGCAAAUCUCUCAUGCAACCCCCUAGUGCAGUCUCCCUGUGCAAGCAACAUCUGCAACCCCCUUGUGCAACCCUACGUGCAACACCCAUGUGCAAACCCACCUGCACAACCCUUGUGCAAACCCCACCCGCACAACCACCGUGUGAACCCCUUGUGCAAACCCCACGUGCACCACCCUUGUGCGCACCCCUCGUGUGACUCUCGCUCGCAACCCCCUCGUGCAAUGCCCCCCCCGUCGUGCACGACCCCUCGUGCGAGCCGUGCUCCCUCCCCACAGCGGAGGUGCUGCUGGCGGAGGAGCCCCAGGACCCCAAGUGCUUUUCACGACUGCUGCACGACUUGACGUGCUUCUGGGACAGCGACGCCCCCCCGGACCCGCAGCGCUUCCACCUGCACUUCCGCCUCGAGUGCGUGCCGC
Long non-coding RNA from Numida meleagris (helmeted guineafowl), 2006 nucleotides. The record is from Ensembl. Lineage: Eukaryota; Metazoa; Chordata; Aves; Galliformes; Numididae.